RNAcentral lists this ribosomal RNA (253 nucleotides) under uncultured bacterium. Its description in RNAcentral is "partial 16S ribosomal RNA". It matches the Rfam family "Bacterial small subunit ribosomal RNA", at positions 524 to 776 of the family's 1533-position model. The record is from RNAcentral.
UACGGAGGAUGCAAGCGUUAUCCGGAAUGAUUGGGCGUAAAGCGUCCGCAGGUGGCUAUGUAAGUCUGCUGUUAAAGAGUGAGGCUCAACCUCAUAAGAGCAGUGGAAACUACAUGGCUAGAGUGCGUUCGGGGCAGAGGGAAUUCCUGGUGUAGCGGUGAAAUGCGUAGAGAUCAGGAAGAACACCGGUGGCGAAAGCGGCUCACUGGACCGGAACUGACGCUGAGGCGCGAAAGCGUGGGGAGCAAACAGG